Harpia harpyja (harpy eagle) is the source of this 939-nucleotide RNA transcript. It is a transcript of the gene named E3 ubiquitin-protein ligase synoviolin-like, with no coding region annotated. The transcript has 2 exons. The record is from RefSeq and is a predicted model, not a curated record. NCBI's taxonomy places the organism in Eukaryota, Metazoa, Chordata, Aves, Accipitriformes, Accipitridae.
UUAAAAUUUUAAUCUCUCCAUUUUUUAAUUUAAUUUCUGCCUCUAAGUUCUCCAGUAGAUCUCCCCUUAACAGGAGUUUAGGAGAAUUUGGCACAUACAAAAAACUGCCGAGUGACCCAUUGCUUUCCUAAUUUCAUUGUUAAAGAUUUAAAGAAGGGUCUAGUUUCUCGUUCACUUGUUGCACCAACACCACCAAUUUCUUCAAAACUUAACUCUCCCUCUAAGGUAUUUAAAACUGAAAAGGUGACUCUAGCGUCAAUUCAUAUUCAAUUUUCUGUUCUCCCAGUUUAGCUGUAACCAGAGCUUCUGCUGGGAGACUCCCCUCCGGUCCCCGUCAGCUACGUUCACUUAAAAAGAACAAAUCUACCUAUGGCACUUCAUUCCGUUUACUCUCUCUCCUACAAAACAACAGUAAUUGCAAUAUAGUAUUAUAACUCAAAGUUCUGUUUGUUUCCCAUUUUUCCUGCAAUUCACCCCAGUGUGCCAAUAAACAUCCCAACGGUGAUGUUUUUGGGAACGCUGCGAGGAGCUUUGUGAGUCGAGGGCGAUGGUUCUCCCCGAGAAUACCUCGGCGCCGGCCGGAGUUUGAUCGACACUCGAUCUCGUCCAGUCUCACUCGCAAGGUCCCGUCUGGGUCGCCAAAACCGUUACCGAAAUCCGGAAUAGAACUCCUUAACACCAACGUGAAGUUAAGAAGCGGGCACUUCGUUUAUCGCAGCGCUGGGGACACGGGGGAUCGCUCCUCCAAAGGCGUGUCCCACUUAGUAUCAAAAUCGGUCAGUUUUUACAGACUUUGUCUGUCAGGUCAUUGUUACAUAAGCUCUUUCCAUAAAAAGGCAUACUAUGCUCGUUCUUAAAUUUAACCUUUCUAAGGAUUGGUCCUUUGAUUAUAUAACCUUAUCAAUAUUCUUAUUUAAAAACAAUCAUUGGUCAGUUACA